This is a long non-coding RNA of Anolis carolinensis (green anole), 7213 nucleotides long. RefSeq annotates it as probable RNA-directed DNA polymerase from transposon BS. The transcript has 5 exons. The record is from RefSeq and is a predicted model, not a curated record. Lineage: Eukaryota; Metazoa; Chordata; Lepidosauria; Squamata; Anolidae.
AGGCAGGCGGCGCACUCACAUUGGCUGAGGCAUGUCAAGUUCCCACCUCUCCAGGGAGCCCCUGCCAAUCACAGAAGGCUGGGUCCAGCCAGGGGCAGUUGGAAUUUUGAACCUGAAAACUGUAUAAAAGUUCAUGCUUUGCUGUUAUGUAUCUCAGUCUAUUUUUGGUGAACUAUUGCAGGCUGGCAUCACUUUCAGCUGAAAUAAAAUAAAAUACCUCAGUGGCUUCUGCUUCGACUUGUAGGGACAGAGAUUCUGGAGCUCAAAUCUACCCGUAAAUGCCAGAACUGGGGUUCUUCUCCCAAUCUCUACUAUAUGAGGACUAAACUACAAUUGCUUAAAGAGGUUUGGAUAUCCUCACAUGUGAAACUCAAAUAUGAAUCUGCAGUGAGCAGAGAGUAAACAUGAUUCAGAAGGAUCAAGAAGAAAAGCAAAAGGAGCAACAACAACAAAAAAAAACACAAGCAAGCUGUCAAGCUGUCAAGCAAGCAGAAUACCUUGGGAAUUUUGUUCUCAAAGUCAGAAGGCAGAGAGAAGAACAGUGGAGAAGUUGAUUCCCUGGAUCUUGAUGCUAUGGCGCAAGGUUGAUGGGCUUGCCCCCAUAUGAGCUGCCCCGAGUUCCUUCGGGAAGAUGGAGGCGGGAUACAAAAACAAAGUUAUUAUUAUUUUAUAACUCCCAUUUACAAGAAAGUGAACUCCAGCAUAGAAUUGGGAAGCAGCCAUUCAAUGGUACCAAUUAGACACCUAUAUUUGAAGAUUAGAGUGAAUACCAUUAGAAUGAGGAACCAUGCAUUUCUUUCUUAAAAGCAUUUAGCAAUUUUUGUGAUGGAGCUGUCAUUCAUCAGAGCAUGGAGAUAAGCCCUAUGAACAACUACUAACACAAAAAAAACCUUAGCCACCGAAUGACCAAACUCACAAAUUCACAUUAAGUGUUCCCUUACUGAUGGCUUUUUUUUCCGUGUCAACCGGAGUUGCUUCUGGAGAGAAUUGGCUGUCUGCAAGGACAUUACCCAGGGAACGCCCGGAUGUUUUGAUGUUUUACCAUCUUUGUGGGAGGCUUCUCUCAUGUCCCCGCAUGGAGCUGGAGCUGAUAGAGGGAGCUCAUCCGCACUCUCCCCGGGUGGGAUUCGAACCUGGCAGCCUUCAGGUCAGCAACCCAACCUUCAAGUCACAAGGCUUUUAUCCCCUUGGCCACCGGAGGCUCCUUACACAUAAAUUAUCAUUACUUAUUCUUGGGUUAAUGUGUCGUCAAAAUUGAACCUCCAUACAUUUUCUAAUUAAAUUGUUUAAAACUUAGCAAAGUAAGUUAACAGAAAUAAGAGUCCCCUUCUCUUCAGCCACUGAACAGUAUUUCUGGAGGAUUCGGGGGACCAUCCCUGGACAAUAAGGAGUAGGAUGUCCAAAGCUGUUGUGAAGAGAAAGAGCCAGGAAAUAUUUCUGUCAAUUUCAUUUACUAAUCUUAGGAAGAAGAACAUUUUAUUGAUUAGCCCUUAGGCCAUACCAAACUAGUCUUAGGAACCAAACCAAUUAUUUCUGAAGACAGCCAGGGCAUGUAUCUAGCCCCUGCUCUUCCUGAGUUGAGGAAUGAAAGAUUUUAUGGUUAUAGGGAGCACACCAUGUCCCUAUUAAAGCAGCUCCACUGGCUGCCGAUGGGUUUCCAGAUCCAAUUCAAAGUGCAGGUUAUUAUCUAUGAAGCCCUUUAUGCUUCAGGUGCAACCUAUCUUUGAGACCUCAUCUCUUUCUAUGAACUGGCACGGGCUUUAAGGUGUACCAGGGAGGCCUUUCUCUCGUUCCCACCUCCGUCUCAAGUGCGGUUGGUGGGGAUGAGAGAGAGGGCCUUCUCGGUGGUCCCCCCCCCCCCCCCGGCUCUGGAAUGCCCCCCCCCCCCCCCGCCCCGAGGAAGAUCAGGCUAGUUCCUACCCUUCAAACCUUCUGCACACAAUUAAAGACCUGGCUUUUCCGACAAGCCUUCAAUCAUGUUUAGACUCUCUAUUAAUACAUUUAGACUCUUUUUUUUUUAGCACUUUACAAUUCUGAGGUUGACUGCUGCUGUUUUAUCUACAGCAAUUGCUGUAUUUUAUUGUUUUCACUGGGGGUACUGUGAAUUUAUGAUGUUGUGUUAACUGUUUAUUGCCUCUUUUGUUUUGCACUUAUUGUAUUUUGUAUGUCACAAUUUCAGUGUUUUGUGAGCCAACUCGAAUUCCUCUGGGAGAUGGUAGCGGGAUAUAUAUUGUUGUUGUUGUUGUUGUUGUUGUUAUAAAUCAGUUCUUAACACAAGCCAAAUGAGACCUAUAAACACAUUUAGUCAGGUUUGCUUGACCAUCUUAUUCCCAACUUAGUGUGAGAUAUCUAUUUUUCUAGAAUAAUUUGAACAAUGGACUGUUUCCUCAUCUAGCUUUAAAUACUGUUUACCUUCACGUGAAUGACAAUGGCCCCAGCAAAUCCAACUAAAAUAAAAAACUUCAUUAUAGAUCCAGACUUCAUUAUAGAUAGACCAGAUAAGUGCUGUCAUAAUGAGAAAACUGUAAAGAACCUAUUAAAUAUCGUAUGUAGAAAGGUUCGUAUUUUUUUAACUAACCAUGAACAAACACACCCUUUAUAGAAAGCUGUCACUCAGACAGUCAUAACAUCUGAAAACUGCUUCUUCUGCAUAAUAUAUGGCACAUGAACAAUAAACAUAUCCUUUAAUAGCAAAAACAUAUUUUUCCACAAAUGUCAAAACAAAUAUUUGAUGAUCCAAAAUUGGUCUUUUUGCUUUCCCCAGGUACCUCAUUCCUACUGGAGGAGAGAUGGUGAUCCAUUUUUAAAUAUGAAAAAUUUCCUGAAUUUUCCUCUCCAUUGCAAAUACAUUCAAUUACAGUACAUGUACACAAACCUAUAUGUAUCUUUUACAGAUAUAUUUUUCAUAGGUUUUUAAAAAAUGCUCCAGAAAUAUUUUCUUCAGCUGGGUUAUCUUUCACAGAGCAUCAGACCUCUAAAGAACAAUAUGUUAGAAAAGGUGAAUUCACAAAAGUAAUUUCAUUGAUCACCUGUACCACUUGACCAGUGACCACUCUCCAACAUCAGUACCAAAAGGGUUACGAAUCAGUUUUUGGUCAAUUUUAGAUUCAGUUUGAUUAUCUGGGGUGCCGAUUCAGAAAAGUGCAUUGGAUAGGCUACAUCAACUCUAUUUUCUGAUACAGAUUAUAUGCCAUCCACUAGUCGCCAUCUGCUCACCCACAGAAAGCCAUAUUUAAUAAUCUAGAGCUGAUGUGGUCUAUUCAAUGCAACUUUCUGAACCACUGUCCCAAAUAAUCCCAGUAACAGGCCUAAAAACAAAGACAUCAAGAUACCCCCACUUCCAGGAACCACACGGAAUGCCUCUGCUCAGGGGGAGGGAGGAGGAGGAGAAGCAGCAAUCAGGAAGCUUGUUGUCACAGCUUUCGUGACACUAUAAGAGGGUUUCGCGAGACCAAGUGCUCCCGUUGCAACAGUGUAGCAACUGUGAGGCCACGGACCAUAUUUUAGUUCUUGGGGACCACAAGCUGGGAACCAUUGCCCUAUAUUGUCAAGGUUUUCUGAUUGUCUGUAGAACAGCUGAGGGUCAGUUUUGAUAUAUCACAACAAAAUCACAAAAUAUCAUGGCUCAAAGACAAUAAUUUAAGACUUGUUUAGGAGUUGAGCUGUCCAUUCUUUGGUCUGGUUUCUGGAACUAACAGACUAGCUUUGCAAAACAGUAUUAUUCCUGUAGAGUCUGAAAUAAUUGGCAUCCAUUAAAUAAAUAUUUGGGAUCAUCCUUUGCUGCUGACAUUUCAGAACAAACUUGUGUAACAAUAAUAAGCAAUACUAUUUAGAAUUAACCCCAAGCAGUCAACAUGAAACAGAACUCAAUCAAUUUUAGUACUAGAAUAAAACAUUACUGAACCACUAUUUUUGUAGUGUUUUAUUAGGUUUUAUAGAUAUAAAACCUUCCACAUCUGUUUGAGAAUAUCAUGCCUGUACAGUACGUAACAUUCAUUUUUCAGAACUCUAUACACAUGCUAUUGUGCAUUUUGAUCAACUUUGCUUACACAUGGCACAUUUAAAGAUGGGCACCUGAAAUUCUAAUGACUGCAAAUGCUGCUGCAGCAGCCAAAGAGAGGUCUCCAAAAAAGUGUGUGAGUGCAUUGUACAAUAAGGCAGUGGCAAUCUGAGCUUCUUAAAUAUCACCAUAGGAGAAUGAAGAUCAUUUCCCCCCUAAAAUAAACUGAGUUUUUGCAAAGGGGAGUUAAAAGGUAACUGUUUGCAAAAUAGUACAUCCCAAGUUCUUUUAAUUUAUCUCACAAUUGUUAAUUCAUUGUAUAAACUGACUUUGGUGGCAUUAAGGCACAUGUAGAUAUGACAAGCAUGACUCUCCCUGGAAAUUCAUCCUGCACAAAUAGCAAAACGUACCUUUUAAAAUUUCUUUUCUAAAAAAUGAAGUACAUCAUUUUUUGUUAUGAAACUUCUAUACAAAAUUAUAAAAUUUACACCAUCUGAGCUGCCAGAGAGAUAAAAAAAAAAGUAUCAGUUCUCUGUAUAACUUCUACUUUUUUCAUCAUAGGUCAAAAAGGGCCAUAUAAAUACCCCGAAGCCUUAUGGGCAACCCCCCCCCCCUCCCCAAAACAAAAUAGCAGACAACCUCCAUGUAAAAGAGAUGCAUGAUUGCAAUGAAUUCCCCUCUAGGUUAAAAAAACAAACAAGUACUUUAAAAAUCUACUAAAAUGGCAAUGCAGGAAAGAAUGGGAACAAUUCACCGGAGAACAAACAGGAGUUGCACAAGCAAAGAACAAAACGGUAGGAGGUAUUUCUCAGUGCACACUGCGCCCUCUGUGUUCAAAUGCUUGGACUGAAAUAAGGCACUUGUCUUCCAUUGAGAAGCACCUUCCAAAGAAAUGACACAAGGACGAGAUGAGUCGGAUUUCUGGUUAUACACAUGAGAGUUGAUUGAAUGAUAUUCCCAGGAUGCGACAGUAACGGUUCGACAGCGGAGGGGGAAGACACAGGAGGCAAAAAAAACUUGGAGGACGUGAACCUCUAAACAGAAGUGGUCACUCUGUCAUUGGCAUUAUUGACCUCAUUUUUGUUUGAAUCCAGUCCUUUAGCAGCAUUCAUAUCAUUCCGCAAAUUCUCCACUGUCUUUUUCAUGUUCUUUAAUUCCCCGGGGUGUGGAGUGGCUCGCCUUAGGAGUGUUCGCUAAAAACAAACAGUGGAGUAAAUAAUUUUGUUUUGUGUCUCCGUUUUUUAAGAAAAGAGAUAUAUCUAUAUAAAUAUAUAUAUUUGAAUGGUUUUUAAGAAUUUUAUUCUUGCUUUUCAAUCAAUAUUUUAAAUUGUUUUACUUAUGGAACGCAAUCAAGCUACAUGUGUUUUUACUUGUGAUUCUCUUUAUCUUGCAAGCCACUUAAAAUCCCAAAUUUGGAGAAAAGGCAGGUCAUAAUAAAAUGAGAGAGAAAAAGAGACAGGCAGACAGACAGACAUUGUUUAACACUGCCCUGAUUUACCCUCUGGAAAUCAGACAAUUGUGACACCCAAUAAAGUACACACAUAGUACAGUUGCUGUCUUUUUAUCUCCAGCAAAGUUUAUACCAAGUUGCCUUGGGCUGUGCAUAUGUGGCCUAUACUUCAGGAUGAACAAUUAAUUAGUUCUAACAAAAUGAAAUUGAACUGUGUUUGCUUGAUGGCUAAUGCCUACAAGUUUGCUGAAGUUAAAUUAUGAUAGUAAUAUUAUAGUAUUAAACAUGACACAGUUGCAGCAUUUUUAAUCUACAUUUUUAAUCAGCUUUACUGAUCAGGGAAUGGUUGGUCAAAAUGUCUCGGAACUAAUAAAGCACUGGAUUAUGGGGUUGUAUGGAGAACAGAGUAUGUUUUGCCUUUUGUAGUUCACUUAUUAGUUGAUAAUUGUAAGCAAAAAUGCUAUAGACACUUUUCAAGGCAAGACUAUUUCUUUAAGUGUGUGUGUGUGCGUGAAUGCAUACACUUCCUAAUAUUGUUGGAUGAUAAUUUCCAUCAGCCUUGCCUAAUACAAAAAAACAAGGAGAGCUGUUGGGAUUUGCAGCCCAGCAGAAAAGGAGAAACUGGUUUCCAUGUGCUUACUGAUGGCUUAAAUGUAUUCUUUAAAAAAACCAGCAGAUUCUAUUAGAAACUUUUCAAUAUGACAAAAUAAAAGCAUGUUAUAAAUAUAAUAUCUGUAUUUAUGUACUGUCCUUUUAAAAAGUGUUUAUAAACUUAGUACGUUAAUAUUUAUAUUUGUGCUAGUUCCCAGUGUAGCCACCAAAGAAGGUUAAUUGGUUUACGUACAGUCAGAGAUACUUUGGGGCUUUUCAAAGACUACAUUUGGACCAUCAAUAAGCGUGUAGAGGCCAGUUUCCUUUUCCUACUAAUUUACAAUACAUGCUUUUCAACAUCUGACCAUGCUCCCAGAUUUGUAAGUCUAGAACAGAGCUUUCCAAACUGUGGGUCGCGACAUGUUCGAGUAUCGUUUGCAGUGUAUAGGUGUGUUGCGUGAACAUAAUUAGAAAUAUCUAAGUUUGAAAUAAAUAAUAAUGUAUUUUAAAAAUAUAAAUGAAAGGUUUUCAUGAGAUAUGUUGUGUUCCCAUACAUACAGAUUAGUUACCGAAACAUCUGGGAAUGAGCAUAUUACACCCAUAUUAAAGUCACUCCAUUGGCUGCCAAUUAGUUUCUGGACAAAGCGUUGGUUUUGAUCUUUAAAGCCCUAUUUGGUUUGGCUCCAGUUUACCUACAGGACUUCCUUCUUCUGCACACACAGGACUUCCUUCUUCUGCACAAUCUGCUCUUUAGGACUCUUAGGUCAUCUGGGAGGCAGUUAUUCCAACAAGCCAGAACAGAACUGGCAACCAGAGGACCUUUUCAUCGGCUGCCCCAAGAUUGUGGAAUGACUUGCUUGAAGAGCUUUGACAGUGAAACGGGGGUACCAGAAUUUGAAACGCAAUUUCAGAUGCAUCUCUUCUGGCAGGCCUACCCAGUCAAUUUUUAAUCAUGCGUUCUGAUUUGCAUUCUAUUACCACUAUCUAUUAAUUCUGUAGCUGUUUUGCUAUAAGUUUUCAUGUGUGUGUGUGUGUGUGUGUGUGUGUGUGUGUGUUCACCCAUGAAAUUUUUGUAAUUUAUUGUAUUUUUAUGUUGAUUUGUUUUUUAAUUUGUGGUACCCUGCCUCGUGCCAUCAGGAGAGGUGCGUAAUAAAUAAAAUGUAUUAUCAUUA